RNAcentral lists this long non-coding RNA (276 nucleotides) under Oryza brachyantha (malo sina). Its description in RNAcentral is "long non-coding RNA (OBRA_LNC002864)". Lineage: Eukaryota; Viridiplantae; Streptophyta; Magnoliopsida; Poales; Poaceae. The record is from RNAcentral.
UAAGAAUGAGCAUAAGAGCAUUGUGAGGUGCAUCAUUGGUUAUACUUAUUUAUUCAUAACUGGAUUUUUCCAUGAGCUAUUCUCUUAAAAUUGGUCAUGCAUGCCUCUCUAAAAUUGUUGUUAUGCACAACUCUCUACUCUAUUCCCAUGUUCACAUUGAGGAAGACACAGGAAGGAGGCGGUAACACAUUUCAUAGGGACAACAUGACAGAAUAGGGAGGAUAGAGCGAAUUGGAUAGGAAUAUGGAAGGGGAGGAAGAGAGUGCCGAGCAAACG